GGGGGCCCGCAAGCGGUGGAGCAUGUGGUUUAAUUCGAUGCAACGCGAAGAACCUUACCUGGUCUUGACAUCCACAGAAUCUUGCAGAGAUGUGAGAGUGCCUUCGGGAACUGUGAGACAGGUGCUGCAUGGCUGUCGUCAGCUCGUGUUGUGAAAUGUUGGGUUAAGUCCCGCAACGAGCGCAACCCUUAUCCUUUGUUGCCAUCGGUUAGGCCGGGAACUCAAAGGAGACUGCCGUUGAUAAAGCGGAGGAAGGUGGGGACGACGUCAAGUCAUCAUGGCCCUUACGACCAGGGCUACACACGUGCUACAAUGGCGUAUACAAAGGGAGGCGACCUCGCGAGAGCAAGCGGACCUCAUAAAGUACGUCUAAGUCCGGAUUGGAGUCUGCAACUCGACUCCAUGAAGUCGGAAUCGCUAGUAAUCGUGAAUCAGAAUGUCACGGUGAAUACGUUCCCGGGCCUUGUACACACC
RNAcentral lists this ribosomal RNA (474 nucleotides) under uncultured bacterium. RNAcentral describes it as "bacterial SSU rRNA". It matches the Rfam family "Bacterial small subunit ribosomal RNA", at positions 915 to 1391 of the family's 1533-position model. The record is from RNAcentral.